GAGAAGGAGCGAAGAUGGCGGAGUGAGGCGUGCCGCGGCCAGCCGGCCUCUGGCCGGGGGCGGACCGGCCCCCGGGAGGCCGAGUGCGUCUGUUGGAUCGUGCGAGGUUCCUUACCAUAGGAAGAAUAUUUUCCUUGAUGUUUAGGUGCUUUUAUAUUCAUCUCAGAAACAAAAUUCUGAACUCAGGACUUGGCAAGUGUUUCUAUGUUGUCUCCUAGAGUGGGUAGUCCUGCUUAUUUUAUACAGCCUCUUUUCCUGUUUUUGAAAUGCAGAUAUCUCUUCACUACACAUUACCUCCUUGAUUUGGAAUGCUAAAGGCCACUUUUUGUUCCACCUCUCCAAUUCAACACAGAGAAGAAGCCCCUGGGAUUGUGGUUAUCCUUCCAACUUCUCCAAGAAGAAAACAGCAGCUGACAUGGGUCUUCUGCUGCUAUUUGCUGAAUUAUAAAGACAUUUUGCAAGCUGAAAGCUGAUGUUUCAUUUGAAACAGGUGCUUAGGUGGUAGUAUUUGUGAAUUCUUUACUUUUUGUUCCAAACAAGAAGACUAAAUAAAUAGCAAGUUUGAAUGACUUAAGGGUUUUUUAAAAAAAUGUCUUCCAGUUUCAGCCACUUCAUGAUAAGCACAGUUGAGACUGCAGCAGUAAAUUUCAAAUAUGUAUUUCUAACUUGAAAUGAAAGAUGCUAAAAAGUUACAUUUAUUUAUAUAUCCAAAUUCUGGCUCAUUCUAUGACACAGAUUUACUGAAUAAGAAUAAGGUCCAAUUUUGCAAUUAAAUCUUUGAUGUGUUAAGCCAAAAUACGAAAUAUAAAAGUUAGUUUCUUAUGCAGACAAACCAUCACAGUCUCUGUACAAAUUAAGUUUUACUUAUGUAAAUCCACAUUUUUGGAUGAGAAGAGGAAUUUUUCUCCUAGAGAAAGAAGGAUUUUUCUCAGACAUCUUUGGACAUUUGGUAUUUUAAAAUGUUUUUUAAGACUUCUAAGGAUGUAUCAGUUGUGUAGUAGUUAACCCUAUGAAUGCAUGCUUGGGUUUAGUGAAAAGAAAACAGUUUUGAGUACAGUGAUGGAACCCUCUUUACCUUCCUAGGAGAAGAGACUGUACAAGUUGCUUCACUCAGUGGUAUAGGUGUUUUUCAAUUCAGGAGAUGUGGUGGAUCCAGUAGUAUGAUCUGCCUUUAAAUUUGGAUAUAGAGGAUUGAGGAGAAAAAGAAUUUUCCAUAUAACUCCUUUCUCUCAAGAAAAAGGAAAAAUUUGCAGCUCCAUCUGACUUUACGGUGUUUUAUAUUAUAUAGUUCCAUUUUUUGGUAAAAAGCAUAAAUUACUAUUUCUUUGCCCCAAGAUGGACAAUUGAAUGUUUGGUUAUUGUUCUAGAUUGGUGUAAUGUUAGGCAAAAAAGACUGGGACUCAGGUACUUUACCCAGUUGAGACUGAACUUCCUCAUUAUAGAAUGAACCUCAGAAGUAGUGUUCCCAAACUUGUGGUUGCAUCAUUGUAGAUUCAGGGUGUGGAAAAGAAACUUCAAGCGAGAAAAAUAGUUACAAUAAGAAAUAUGAAUUUUCCUUUUUUCUCUUAACAGUUAUACAAUAUGUUGAACAGACUAUUGUAGAAAGCUGUCCUUGCUUCCAAAUCAAUAGAAGACCAUUGUAUGUAUUGUCAGGUCUAUAUAUAAGAAGAGUGAACCUUUAUUUAUGAAUCUUUAUGAGUAGAGAAUGAAUUUUAAAACUUCUUAGAUUAAAUUAAGAACAGAUAAUGUUAGAACAUCUCUGUGUUUUCUGGAAUGUUUGCUCAGGGCCGUGCAUUCUGUGACGCUGGGAACGUAGGACAGAUUCACCAAAUCUGAGAUUGGUAAAAAUGUUCAAAAGUGGAUAAUGUUGUGCACUCUUAAUGAUUAGUGAUGUUGGUCAAUUUGAAUUGGGAUAAAAAAAGAUGUUUAGUAAAAUAAUUGCAUAAUGCAUACAAAAUAUAAUAUAAUUGAGGGCAAUCACAGAGUGGUAAAUCAUAGUAGAAAUAACUUUGAUCAAAGGUAACUUAAAUUUUUCUCUGUAAUCUCUCCACUUACUGAUGUUUUUCUUAUUUUGGAAUUGUUAAAGACAGAAUGGAGCUUGUAUAUGCGGGUCUCACUGGUAUGUUGAGAAUGUCAUAUCAUGGAGAAUUUGUACCUUCUACUUGUCUGUUACUCAUUUUCCCCAUGUCCUUUUGGCAACUUCUUGGGUAGGAUCAUUUGGCAGGGAAUAGGGUAUCUCCUGUCAGCACCAGUGAAACCAGCUCUGGCCUACUUGUUUGAACAGGUAUCAGACUCAUCUUUUCCCUGAUGUUUUGUAUUUUUUUCAUUUCGCAGUUCAGAGAACCAGUGUUUAAUUAUUACUUUCAAACUGUUUAUCUUCCAUGAUUGACAUCAGGUGUCAUUUAACAAAAUGGCUAUAUUCCAGUUGUAGUUGCCCAGUUUUUACUUAAUACAUCUACAUUUUUUUCUUGUCUGUUUUGGUCCCCUUUUUUGAUGACUAAAGCUCUAAUUUUAGACAGGAGCAUACCUUGGUUUGUAGCCAUGCAUCCUCCCUUUCCUUAUCCAUGUUAGCUGGUAGUUUUUCUUUCUAAAAGUUAAACAAAAACGGGAUAUGUGCAAUAGAAAUAUAUAUAUGUAUAUUUUAAUACUUGUGGACAAAUGUUACAAGUUGUUUAAGAACAACAAAAUCACCAAUGUCUUCCAUUUUGAGACGUGUAUAGUUUUGUAAGCAUUAGUGCUUGGUAGCAUAUUGUAGUCCCAUGUUAGGGGUUAGUGCAUGAGCCUAGUAAUAAUUUUAAACUUCAGGAAGAAUUAUUGAUAAUAACAAAUAGUGUAAAAAGAGUGGAAAGUCCAGGCCUUUUCUUUUUUCUGAAUCUGUAAUAUUCUCCCUGGGGAAAGGAAAUUAAGGCCCAGAAAGACUUGUGAAUAGAAAUGUGGGGUAGAAAUCCGAGAUGCUAUGUUUGUGAGGAUAUUUCAGCUUUCCAUGAGGUAGCUGGAAGCCAGCUGACUUUGUGUCUUAUGAAACCUCAAGUCAGAAUGAGACCCCAUUUCAUGAUUCUGCUUUGCUUCUCUUAGUUUGAUGUAAUCUUAUUCUUAAACUGGCUUUACAUUCAUGUCAUAGGUUCACUAUUUUUCUAUUCCUGUGUCAAGAAAUUAUUUUACACUUUGCACGUCUUACUGAGAUCUUAUGUUAAUUGCUUUAGUGAGUACUUUUCUAAUCUGCAGACCAUUUACACUUCCCUUUUGCAGCUUGCUGUGUAUAAAUAGUAAUUUGGAGUUUCCAAAUUAUUUUUACAGGCUCUUCCUACUUCCAAAUCUGCUGAAUUGUGUAUUUAUGGGAUUUCAGACUUCUUCAUGAGAAUUGGAAAUGUAGCUGGCUAGUGCCUGUUUAGGUUGCUGUAUAAUAAGUAGACUCUUCCUUAGUUAUAGUAAGCCUCAGACAACUUUCACUUUUUUCUACUUAUGAAAAUAAAAGUUUUGUUCUGAAAAGAUAGCUUUCUGUAGAAAAGAAUUCUUACCUCUAAAAGCUGCUGUGAGAACUUGGAAGUGGCAGUUUUCUGAAGUGAUUUUUAAAUCUCAGUAUUAAGAGUCCAGAAUUUGUUGACACAGAUUCUACAGUUAGUAUAAAAGGAAAUGCAGAACCAUUUUAAUGUGGUGUAUCUUGUGCAUGCACAGGUUAGACUCUGGCAGCAGAUCUCCAGGGACCCAGAUUUAGAUUCUUAUAGUGUACUUAAAGUGGUUGUACUUCUGGUUCAAGUAGUUUAGUGCCUGGGCGAAUCAAUUUCUGAAAAGUAUUUACAUUAUUGUUAAAAAAUACCUCUGAAAAGGUACUGAAUGCAAAAUAGCACAGUAUAUAGGAAAGGAUAUUUCCUGUUGCAAAAAAAAGCCAUAAAAUAAUUUCAAGAGGUAGGAUUUUAAUAGCAAUAACAGUUUUGCAUGUAUAAUAAAUUGCAUUAGCAAGGUUGUACAGUAGAAUAAGUGAUAUUAGUUAAGUUUGUGGGGCUCUGUGAUUCAAGAGUUGCACAAAAGGAAAAAAUGUUCUAGAUAAAGAGCAUAUAAAAGGUACUUUCUUUUAAAACAGCAUGAAUGUAUAUUAACUUAUCUUUGUAUGAGAAAUACCAACUUUUGUGCAUAAGUUAAAGGUUAAAGUCCUCAUUUGUUUCCUAAAUUAGAGGGUUAGAGCCGUUGAAAUGAAACCUUUCUAGUGUUUAACCUGAAAGCAAAUGUAUUCCUGUAGCCCCACUGAAACCUUCAUGUGGGUUCUUUUUAAAACCAGGCAUUUAUUUUGUAGAAUGAUAUGCUUUUAUGAUUUGUCUUAUUUUUUCCAUGGGUUUUCUGGAUACAUUUUUUUUAAAGGAAGAUAAAAUUCUGUGUGUUUAGUAUUGAAAAAACCCCCCAAGAACAUGAAUAGCUGGAUUUUCCUCAUGCUUAUGUUGGAGAGUUAGGAUUUAAAGGUAAAAAGCAAAAGGAUUGAAGGGAAUAGCCAGUGACUGUAUGUUGGGGGGGAUGUGUGUGUAUGUGUGUGUUUUAAACCUUAUCUAAUGUAGAUGUGGCCUGUGACCUGUGACUGCUUAUUUUAACAAGGAUGGCCCAGCAAACUUUCUUUCUUGAUGUGAGGAAUCACACAGCUCACAUCAGGAUAUAAUAGUGGAACUAGAGUGACUUCUAUUCCCUUUCACCUCAUGCCCAUCUUGGCCAUUUACUACCUUGAAGAUCCCUGAAAAGACUGGGUCUACAUUCCCUUGUCUUCCCAGGGAAAAAGCUAAAACAUAAGUGGUGUAGAUCUAAAUAGUGCCUCUUGCAUAUUUAAUUACAUGGCAACUAAUGGAUAGAGAAAAGACUAUAUUAAGUUGAUUAUAGCUCCUCUUUAAAUGUUCUGUGCUAUCAGUUGAUCUUUGAGACACUGAAACAACCAAGCAAUAUUUAGACAUCUGCAUGAUCAUGGGGACAGUGCUGCUUAUUACAGUGAUGUUAGCAGUUCAAUUACUUGGAACAAUUAAAGAUUACCCUUAACAGCCAUGUUAUUCUAAAUACUAAAAUAUGCUACAAGUUUUCAUUGUCAAAAGUAUGUGGUUACUUUUCAAAGUUAGUGUGAUCUCACAUUUACUCUUUAUGUACCUGUGAUAU
Molecule: long non-coding RNA, 5127 nt
Organism: Carlito syrichta (Philippine tarsier)
Lineage: Eukaryota; Metazoa; Chordata; Mammalia; Primates; Tarsiidae
Exons: 3
Source: RefSeq, a predicted model, not a curated record